This is a long non-coding RNA of Helianthus annuus (common sunflower), 882 nucleotides long. RefSeq lists it as uncharacterized. NCBI's taxonomy places the organism in Eukaryota, Viridiplantae, Streptophyta, Magnoliopsida, Asterales, Asteraceae. The transcript is spliced from 4 exons. The record is from RefSeq and is a predicted model, not a curated record.
UUCAUCAUCAACUCCGUCUCCAUUUUUCUGCAAAUACCUUUUUCCCAACAUCUUAUCUGAGAAUCAUUCAACCCUUUGCGAAUUUAUGAUUAUGAUUCCGGCCACCAAUCCGAAAGCUGUAUAAUCAGUUCCUCCUUAGCAACGAACCAAGAUGACAGUAGGAGUGGCACAUUUGUCUUAGGAAAUCAGUGUAUCAUUCAGCUUCACUCUUCGACCUUCCCGCUAUCGUGGAGUUGUACAAAACUUACGUUGACAAUGUUCUGAUCAAAACAACAGAUGUUGGUCAGAUAACCAUGGUCAAUGAAGAGGGUGACAGUGAUCCUCCACCAGAUGUAUUGGAGUGCCGCCAUAGUCUUACCCCUCCUAUGGGCUACGAGAGAUGCUAGAAGGCGGAGAUUUCACAAGGAACGAAAUGUAUGAUGUUUUCUCACGUUGUAAACUUUAAGCGACAAACUGUAGAACAUUGAUGAUGGUAAUGGGCUAGCUUAUGUGUUUAUAAAGCAGUCCAAAGCAAAUAAGGAUGCAGUCUAGCUUAUGAAGGUUUUUAUUUUUAUUUAUUUAUUUAUUAUUGUGGGACUUUUGCAUUUGUAAAUUACUAUAUCUUUUGUGCAGGGCUGGCUGUUCUAUUCAGACAUAUCAUUCUGGAAAAUGCCACAAAUGAAAGCUCUCUCAUUCUGCCCCAUUUGAGAAAAUGAUAGUUCUUGAUCUAUAUGCCGACGUAAAACCUGUAUGGGAAUCAUCAUCUCAAUUCUAUAGCGUGGCGCCCUUUAUACAUGGUAACAUCAUCAUUCAAGUAUAAUCACUUUUAGCAUACAAGUUUUUCAAUUGUUUGUAGAUUACAUCCUAUUUUGUGAUUUAUAUAUAAAUGAGUAGUAUGUUACA